Molecule: ribosomal RNA, 253 nt
Filed under: uncultured bacterium
Lineage: Bacteria
Description: partial 16S ribosomal RNA
Rfam family: Bacterial small subunit ribosomal RNA
Source: RNAcentral
UACGGAGGGUGCGAGCGUUAAUCGGAAUUACUGGGCGUAAAGGGUGCGUAGGUGGUUUAUUAAGUUAUCUGUGAAAUCCCUGGGCUCAACCUGGGCAGGUCAGAUAAGACUGGUAAACUCGAGUAUGGGAGAGGGUAGUGGAAUUUCCGGUGUAGCGGUGAAAUGCGUAGAGAUCGGAAAGAACACCAACGGCGAAAGCACUCUGCUGGGCCGACACUGACACUGAGAGACGAAAGCUAGGGGAGCGAAUGGG